CCUGAGUGCCUGUGAGUUAUAGUGGAUCUGAUCGCACCUUUUCCCAAUGGUGUCUAAUCUGAGUGAAGUUGGUUCCAUCUUGAAGGUUUCAACGUGCUGAGUUCAAGAUGAUCUCAAAUUGUCGAUCCAACAGUCAGAUUGUCCGAGAUCUAACCGAAAAGCUUGAAAAACUCGAAAUUUCUUUCCUUCAUAACUUUUUCCUUCGACCACCAUUCGAUGCAAAAUUGGUCUCAAAAGAAAGCCCGUGGAAUGAGGAUUCCAAUGCCACCAGAAUCGCGUCCAUCCAACGUCAGACAGCACCAAAAUCACACUUGAAAGUUCUUGCCUUUGCACAUGUAUUUAUCUCUUUCAUCCCUCAUUUGCUAGCACUUUUAGUGGUCCUGGCCGCCCUUCACAGCCUGAUGGUCGUCGCUAGAAGUAGUGUUGUUGCUAGAGGUGUCGCUGAUGGUAGGUGGUGGUUCACCGGAGAAGAAAGAAAGAGA
Molecule: unclassified non-coding RNA, 482 nt
Filed under: Hevea brasiliensis (rubber tree)
Lineage: Eukaryota; Viridiplantae; Streptophyta; Magnoliopsida; Malpighiales; Euphorbiaceae
Source: RNAcentral